GAUGAAGAACGUAGUGAAACGCGAUAGGUAAUGUGAAUUGCAGAAUUCCGUGAAUCAUCGAAUCUUUGAACGCACAUUGCGCCCCCUGGUAUUCCGGGGGGCAUGCCUGUCCGAGCGUCAUUGCUGCCCUCAAGCACGGCUUGUGUGUUGGGCCUCCGUCCUCCUCCCGGGGGACGGGCCCGAAAGGCAGCGGCGGCACCGCGUCCGGUCCUCGAGCGUAUGGGGCUUCGUCACCCGCUCUUGUAGGCCCGGCCGGCGCUUGCCGACACAUCAAUCUUUUUUCCAGGUUGACCUCGGAUCAGGUAGGGAUACCCGCUGAACUUAAGCAUAUCAAUAAGCGGAGGA
Molecule: unclassified non-coding RNA, 345 nt
Filed under: soil metagenome
Description: partial contains 5.8S ribosomal RNA, internal transcribed spacer 2, and large subunit ribosomal RNA
Rfam family: 5.8S ribosomal RNA (bases 1-120)
Source: RNAcentral